UACAGAGGCCCCAAGCGUUGUUCGGAUUCAUUGGGCGUAAAGGGUGCGUAGGUGGUGUUGUAAGUUGAAUGUGAAAUCCCGGAGCUCAACUCCGGAACUGCAUUCAAUACUGCGGCACUUGAGGAUUGUAGGGGAGAGUGGAAUUCACGGUGUAGCAGUGAAAUGCGUAGAUAUCGUGAGGAAGACCAGUGGCGAAGGCGACUCUCUGGGCAACUCCUGACACUGAGGCACGAAGGCUAGGGUAGCGAAC
This 250-nucleotide ribosomal RNA is filed under the name uncultured bacterium. RNAcentral's name for it is "partial 16S ribosomal RNA". It matches the Rfam family "Bacterial small subunit ribosomal RNA", at positions 524 to 773 of the family's 1533-position model. The record is from RNAcentral.